UACGGGGGGUGCGAGCGUUGUCCGGAAUCACUGGGCGUAAAGGGCGCGUAGGUGGCUUUGUAAGUUUGCGGUGAAAGCCCGGGGCUCAACCCCGGGUCUGCCGUGGAUACUGCAAGGCUUGAGUACUGUAGAGGCAGGUAGAAUAUCGGGUGUAGCGGUGGAAUGCGUAGAGAUCCGAUAGAAGACCGGUGGCGAAGGCGGCCUGCUGGGCAGUAACUGACACUGAGGCGCGACAGCGUGGGGAGCAAACAGG
This 253-nucleotide ribosomal RNA is filed under the name Gemmatimonas sp. RNAcentral describes it as "partial 16S ribosomal RNA". It matches the Rfam family "Bacterial small subunit ribosomal RNA", at positions 524 to 776 of the family's 1533-position model. RNAcentral also lists the same sequence under 1 other name. Lineage: Bacteria; Pseudomonadati; Gemmatimonadota; Gemmatimonadia; Gemmatimonadales; Gemmatimonadaceae. The record is from RNAcentral.